This 406-nucleotide ribosomal RNA is filed under the name uncultured bacterium. RNAcentral describes it as "partial 16S ribosomal RNA". It matches the Rfam family "Bacterial small subunit ribosomal RNA", at positions 30 to 526 of the family's 1533-position model. The record is from RNAcentral.
AUUGAACGCUGGCGGCAAGCCUAACACAUGCAAGUCGAACGAGUGGCGGACGGGUGAGUAAUGUCUGGGAAACUGCCUGAUGGAGGGGGAUAACUACUGGAAACGGUAGCUAAUACCGCAUACCAUCGGAUGUGCCCAGAUGGGAUUAUCUAGUAGGUGGGGUAAAGGCUCACCUAGUCGACGAUCCCUAGCUGGUCUGAGAGGAUGACCAGCCACACUGGAGCUGAGACACGGUCCGGACUCCGAAGGGAGGCAGCAGUGGGGAAUAUUGCACAAUGGGCGCAAGCCUGAUGCAGCCAUGCCGCGUGUAUGAAGAAGGCCUUCGGGUUGUAAAGUACUUUCAGCGGGGAAGCGUUACCCACAGAAGAAGCAACGGCUAACUCCGUGCCAGCCGCCGCGGUAAUAC